CUACGCUCUGGGUAAUUUUAAAAAGACUGGCGGUUUACUACUUGGCUCAAGGUUUUGAAAGUCAAGGGCCUGUGUAGAAGAGGGUCUUUUUUAUUUUAUUUUUUUAAUUUGCCAAAGGACAUUUUUCGACUGCUGGGGAGAGACAGCGGGGAAGCGAGAAAGCUUCCCUACAGGGGUGCAGCCACGGCUCCAUGCGGCGUGGGAAACUCGGCACUCACGCAACCAGCAGCACGGCCCUAGCAACGGCAGCCCAUGCCGUCCAAGAACUGCUUGGUUAUAUCAGCUGUCUUCAACGCUCCUCUCUCGCACUCGGUCUCAGGACAGCUGUGUGCAGUGUUCAGAGAAGCAUCCUCGUCAUCUUCUGGAUUGAUCAUGCCAACUCAAGGGUGGCCUGCAGAGCUCCAGAACUGGCCGAAACCUUGGCAUCGCAGAGCAUGGAAGCCACUGCCUACCCGCGAGCCACCUCUUCACGCAAGAACGAUGUCCUCUCCCAUGCACAAAUGACCUUCCAGAAGUCCAUCUCCCCUGCAUGUCCACGGUCCGAGGCUGACAUGCACCUUCAGCUGGAUCCCUGCUCUACCGCAGGUGGGGCUUCCGAACUUCACUGACAUUCAGUGUCCCUUCCAGGAGCAAGUCCAUUCCCAACCUUCCACCCCCCCCCCUUUCCCUUAGAGCCAGCCCUUUUCUGGGUUUGCAUUCUAAGAUUACCAGGACCCCCUAGCCCUGUGGGCAGCCCAGCUGUCUCCCAGAGUCCCCUA
Tupaia belangeri chinensis (Chinese tree shrew) is the source of this 758-nucleotide long non-coding RNA. RefSeq lists it as uncharacterized. Lineage: Eukaryota; Metazoa; Chordata; Mammalia; Scandentia; Tupaiidae. The transcript has 3 exons. The record is from RefSeq and is a predicted model, not a curated record.